This 182-nucleotide unclassified non-coding RNA is filed under the name Glomus sp. RNAcentral describes it as "partial contains 5.8S ribosomal RNA and internal transcribed spacer 2". The stretch from base 1 to 71 matches the Rfam family "5.8S ribosomal RNA", at positions 84 to 154 of the family's 154-position model. The record is from RNAcentral. Lineage: Eukaryota; Fungi; Glomeromycota; Glomeromycetes; Glomerales; Glomeraceae.
GUGAAUCAUCGAAUUUUUGAACGCAAAUUGCACUUUCUGGUAUUCCGGAAAGUAUGCCUGUUUGAGGUUCAGUUAAAUAAAAAUCGGUUUUGUUGUUGCCAUGAGUGGUGAUGCAUCGGAAUUGAGUUGUUCUUUGCUUUUGAGUAUAAGUGACUUAAUGUUUGUGCGAUGUUUAAAUGUAU